Molecule: ribosomal RNA, 465 nt
Filed under: Vreelandella stevensii
Lineage: Bacteria; Pseudomonadati; Pseudomonadota; Gammaproteobacteria; Oceanospirillales; Halomonadaceae
Description: partial 16S ribosomal RNA
Rfam family: Bacterial small subunit ribosomal RNA
Source: RNAcentral
CCUACGGGUGGCAGCAGUGGGGAAUAUUGGACAAUGGGGGCAACCCUGAUCCAGCCAUGCCGCGUGUGUGAAGAAGGCCCUCGGGUUGUAAAGCACUUUCAGUGAGGAAGAACGCCUGGUGGUUAAUACCCAUCAGGAAAGACAUCACUCACAGAAGAAGCACCGGCUAACUCCGUGCCAGCAGCCGCGGUAAUACGGAGGGUGCGAGCGUUAAUCGGAAUUACUGGGCGUAAAGCGCGCGUAGGUGGCUUGAUAAGCCGGUUGUGAAAGCCCCGGGCUCAACCUGGGAACGGCAUCCGGAACUGGCAAGCUAGAGUGCAGGAGAGGAAGGUAGAAUUCCCGGUGGAGCGGUGAAAUGCGUAGAGGUCGGGAGGAAUACCAGUGGCGAAGGCGGCCUUCUGGACUGACACUGACACUGAGGUGCGAAAGCGUGGGUAGCAAACAGGAUUAGAUACCCCGGUAGUC